CCAAAACCACACAACAAUAAACGGUUUGGGUUGGUUUGUGGGUUUUUUUGUUACUUUACAGCCCCCUCUAUAAAUUCCCGCCCUCCCAGGAGUGGGUCUCUGCGGGCGGCGCUGAGGAACCUUCCUCCAGAUAAGCACAGAGAAUCCUACCCAAAUGGCUGGAAGCGUCUUUGAAACUCCAACAAGAUCUCUCUGGUGGGGCAAGAAGCUUAUUGAGAGUCACUCUGCAAGCAAAUCAGUGAGGUGGAAACUCGCAGCCUGGCGCUGUACUUAACCCGUGGCCAACAGACCACUUCCCUCCAGGAAAGUAGGUGUGGUGAAAGGAGGAAGUUACCAGCCAAGAAGCGAAGACCUGUCUUUAGUUAUACAACUAAAGCUUCUUCUUAAAAAGUGAGUUCUGCCAAUGGUGCGAAGGAAGCGGUCCAACAGUGAAACAUGCAAGAUGAACAGAAGGCUUUUACCUAUUGCAAAAGACAUUUGAGAAUCAGAGAUAAAAUGAGGUAAAGAAAUCAAGAGGGCCCUGCCUUUCUCCUCAGCAUAAAAAGAAGUAACAAUUUAUUUUAGCCUGAAGCUAGUUCAGCAGGUGGCCCACGGGGCCUGGCAGGCCCCCUCUAAAAAAAAAUUUUGAAUAAUCACCAUUUUAGCAUCAAUCAGACUGUCUGUUUAUAGUACGCGCGGUGGCAAACGUUCCCAGGAUGGGUACUGCCAGCGCUGGAAAUGCUGUCCACCCCCACCAUUCCAUCCUGAAAGGAGUUGUUCAAAUAAUCCCCGAUUUACAGAUUACUUCCAGCUCUUGAAUCCCGUUGACCCAUCUUU
Long non-coding RNA from Calidris pugnax (ruff), 816 nucleotides. RefSeq lists it as uncharacterized. The record is from RefSeq and is a predicted model, not a curated record. The transcript has 4 exons. NCBI's taxonomy places the organism in Eukaryota, Metazoa, Chordata, Aves, Charadriiformes, Scolopacidae.